Molecule: ribosomal RNA, 253 nt
Filed under: uncultured bacterium
Lineage: Bacteria
Description: partial 16S ribosomal RNA
Rfam family: Bacterial small subunit ribosomal RNA
Source: RNAcentral
UACGGAGGGGACUAGCGUUGUUCGGAAUUACUGGGCGUAAAGCGCACGUAGGCGGCUUUGUAAGUCAGGGGUGAAAUUCCGGGGCUCAACCUCGGAACUGCCUUUGAUACUGCAAAUCUCGAGUCCGGAAGAGGUGAGUGGAAUUCCUAGUGUAGAGGUGAAAUUCGUAGAUAUUAGGAAGAACACCAGUGGCGAAGGCGGCUCACUGGUCCGGUACUGACGCUGAGGUGCGAAAGCGUGGGGAGCAAACAGG